GAUGAAGAACGUAGCGAAAUGCGAUAAGUAAUGCGAAUUGCAGAAUUCAGUGAGUCAUCGAAUCUUUGAACGCACAUUGCGCCCUGUGGUAUUCCGCAGGGCAUGCCUGUUCGAGCGUCAUUUCAACCCUCAAGCCUCGCUUGGUGUUGGGCCCUGCCCGCCGCGGCCGGCCCUAAAGAUAGUGGCGGCGCCGCCUGGCCCUCAGCGUAGUACAGCUCUCGCUCCAGGGUCCGGCGGCAGCCUGCCAGAACCCCCAACUCUGUGGUUGACCUCGGAUCAGGUAGGGAUACCCGCUGAACUUAAGCAUAUCAAUAAGCGGAGGA
RNAcentral lists this unclassified non-coding RNA (323 nucleotides) under soil metagenome. Its description in RNAcentral is "partial contains 5.8S ribosomal RNA, internal transcribed spacer 2, and large subunit ribosomal RNA". The stretch from base 1 to 120 matches the Rfam family "5.8S ribosomal RNA", at positions 35 to 154 of the family's 154-position model. The record is from RNAcentral.